GAUGAAGAACGUAGCGAAAUGCGAUACGUAAUGUGAAUUGCAGAAUUCAGUGAAUCAUCGAAUCUUUGAACGCACAUUGCGCCUGCCAGCACUCUGGCAGGCAUGCCUGUUCGAGCGUCAUUUCAACCAUCAAGCCCUAGGCUUGCGUUGGAGCCCUGCGGCUGCCGCAGGCCCCUAAAAGCAGUGGCGGGCUCGCUGUCACACCGAGUGCAGUAGAUUACUCUUCGCUCAGGGCGUGUGGCGGGUUCCAGCCGUGAAACCCCCUACUUCUCAAGGUUGACCUCGGAUCAGGUAGGAAUACCCGCUGAACUUAAGCAUAUCAAUAAGCGGAGGA
Molecule: unclassified non-coding RNA, 334 nt
Filed under: soil metagenome
Description: partial contains 5.8S ribosomal RNA, internal transcribed spacer 2, and large subunit ribosomal RNA
Rfam family: 5.8S ribosomal RNA (bases 1-120)
Source: RNAcentral